AACACCGCGAGGGUCCGCGGCUUUAUUCUUGAAGUCAGUGAGACCAAGAACCCACCAGUUCCGGACACAAUACUUUUCACACUGCAUGAUGAAGAAAUUUAGCUUUAUUGUUAGGCAUUGUGGCUCUGGAGACCUGGAAGCACUGCUAACUGUUCUCUCGAUUUUCUGACGCUCGGCCACAUCAACCUGUCAUACUAGUUGUGAGGAGAAGUCAAGGACAGUGACACAGCCAGCCAGUCUGAGGCAUUUUCCAUCAUCCUGAAGGAGUUGCCCUAUCCUGCUUUUCACUGGAGGGGGCAUGGAUGGAUCUGGAAUGUAUAAUUGGAGUAGACAUUCUCAGCAGCUGGCGGAAACCCCGCAUUGGUUCCAUGACAUGUGGAAUGAAGGCUACGAUGGUAGGAAAAGAUAAGUGGAAGCUGCUAAAACUGCAUUUACCUUGAAAAAUAUUAAACACAAAGAAACACUACAUUCCUGGAAAGACUGCACCAUCAAGGACUUGAAAGACUCAGGGACGGGGUGAUUCUUAUGUUCUCACUCAACUUGCCUGUGCGGGAGUCAGAUGAAUCUUGGAGAAUGACAGUGGAUUAUUAUAAGCUUAACUAGGUGAUGACUCCAAUUGCAGCUGCUGUACUGGAUGUGGUUUCAUUGCUCGAGCAAGUUAAUACAUCCCCUGGUACCUAGUAUGCAGCUAUUGAUCUAGCAAAUGCCUUUUUCUCCUUACCUCUCAAUAAGAACAACCAGAAUCAGUUUGCUUUUAGCUAGUAAGGUCAGCAAUAUAGCUUCACUGUGCUGCAUCAGGGGUAUGUUAAUUCUCUACCACUAUGUCAUAAUUUAGUUUGCAGGAAUCUUUAUCACCUUUCCCUUCCAAAAGAUAUCACACUAGUCUAUUACACUGGUGACAUGAUGCUGAUUUGACGUAGUGAGCAAGAAGUAGCAACUACUCUAUAGUUAUUGGUAAGACAUUUGCAUGUCAGAGAAUGAAUUUUCAAGAAAAUUCAGUGAAAUUUCUAGGGGUCAGUAUGUGGAGCAUGUGAGAUAUUACUUCUAAGGUAAAGGAUAAGUUGAUGUAUUUGCCUCACCUUCAACCAUAAAAGAGGAACAAUGCCUAGUGGGCCUCUUUGGAUUCUGGAGGCAACAUACUCCUUAUUUGAGUGUGUUACUCUAGUCCAUUUACUGAGUAAACUGCUUUUCACUAGUUUUCAGUGAGGCCCAGAACAAGAAGAGACUCUGCAACAAGUCUAGGCUGCUGUGCAAGCUGCUCUGUCACUUGGGCCUUAUGAUCCGGUAGAUCCAAUGGUGCUUGAAGUGUCAGUGGUAGACAGGGAUGCUGUCUGGAGCCUUUGAUGGGCCCCCUAUUGGUGAAUCACAGUGCGGAUCCUUAGGAUUUUGGAACAAAGCCCUGAUAUCUUCUGUGGAUAACUACUCUCCUUUUGAGAAACAGUUCUUAGUUUGCUACUGGGCCUUAGUAGAGACUUAAUACUUAACUAUGCACUACUAAGUUACUAUUUGACCUGAGCUUCCCACCAUGAACUGAGUGUUGUCUUACUCGCAAAGCCAUGAAGUUGGGCAUGCACAGCAGCACUCCAUCAUCAAAUGGAAGUACUUUGUAUGAGAUUAGGUCAAAUCAGGCUCUUGGCACAAGUAAGUUACAUGAAAAGAAGGGGCCUAAUUGUCAUGGCACCCACUCCUAUUACAGGACCUUCUCUCUCCCGCCUGCUUCUGUGGCCUCACAGGGGAGCUCCUUGUGAUCAGUUGAUAGAGGAAAAAAGACUCAGGCCUGAUUUACAGAAGAUUCUGCAUGAUAUACAGCUACCACCUGAAAGUGGGCAGCUGCAGAACUGCAGACCUUCUCUGAAACAUUCCUCAAGGACAAUGGUGAAGAAAAAUCCUUCCAGUAGGCAGAACUUCAAGCAGUGCACCUGAUUGUUCACUUUGCUUGGGAGAAAAGGUAGGACAUGUGACUGUACACUGAUUCAUGGACUGUGGCCAAUGGUUUGGUAGAUGGUCAAGGACUUGAAAGGAACAUGACUGGAAUAUUGGUGAGAAGGAAAUUUGGGGAAGAAGUAUGUGGAUAGAUCUCUCUCAAUGGGCAAAAAACCAUGAAGAUAUUUGUGUCCCAUGUAAAUAUUUACAAAAGGAUAACCUCAGCAGAGGAAGACUGUAAUAAUAAAGUGGAUAGAAUAGCCCAUUCUGUAGCUACCACUCAGCUUCUUUCUCCAGCCAACCCUGUUCAUUGCCCAAUGGGCUCAUGAACAAAGUGGCCAUUGUGGCAAAAAAGGGGGGUUAUGCAUAGGCUCAGCGACAUAGACUCCUACUCACCAAGACCAACCUGGCUACAGCCACCACUGAGUUCUUAAUCUGCUAGAAGCAGAAACCAACACCGAGUCCCUAAUAUGGCACCAAUCCUCAUGGUGGCCAGCCAGCUCCUGGGUGGCAGGUUGAUUAUAUUGGACUGCUUCCAUCAUGGAAGAGACAGCAGUUUGUCCUCACUGAAAUAGAUAUUUACACUGGAUAUACAUUUUUCUUCCUGCACACAAUGCUUCUCCCAAAACUACCAUCCAUGGACUUACGGAAUGCUUUAUCCACCAUCUUGGUAUUCCACACAGCAUUGCUUCUGACUAAGGAACUUACUUCACUGCCAAAGAAGCAUGGCAAUGGGUAUAUGCUCAUGGAAUUCCCUGGUCUUACCAUGUUUCCUGCCAUCCUAUAGCUGCUGGCUUGAUAGAGUGGUGGAAUGGUUUUUUGAAAUCACAGUUGUAAUUCCAGCACUUUGGGAGGCUGAGGUGGGUGGAUCACCUGAGGUCAGGAGUU
RNAcentral lists this long non-coding RNA (2811 nucleotides) under Homo sapiens (human). RNAcentral's name for it is "HSALNT0307989". Lineage: Eukaryota; Metazoa; Chordata; Mammalia; Primates; Hominidae. The record is from RNAcentral.